UAAAUGAAGGGUCUGAUCAUGGCUCAGAUUGAACGUUGGCGGCAGGUCUCAUACAUGCAAGUCGUACGGGGAUGCAGCUUCGGCUGUGAACCCAGUGGCGGACGGGUGAGUAACGCGUAGGAAUCUACCUGGUAGUGGGGAAUAACUCGAGGAAACUCGGGCUAAUACCGCAUACGACCUAAGGGUGAAAGCGGGGGAUCUUCGGACCUCGCGCU
RNAcentral lists this ribosomal RNA (215 nucleotides) under Gammaproteobacteria bacterium. Its description in RNAcentral is "partial 16S ribosomal RNA". It matches the Rfam family "Bacterial small subunit ribosomal RNA", at positions 1 to 219 of the family's 1533-position model. The record is from RNAcentral. Lineage: Bacteria; Pseudomonadati; Pseudomonadota; Gammaproteobacteria.